UACGUAGGAGGCGAGCGUUGUCCGGAAUCAUUGGGCGUAAAGAGCGCGCAGGCGGCUUGGCAAGUCGGGUGUGAAAUCCCGGGGCUCAACCCCGUGACUGCAUCCGAUACUGUCAGGCUAGAGGUAGGUAGGGGAGAUCGGAAUUCCUGGUGUAGCGGUGAAAUGCGCAGAUAUCAGGAGGAACACCGAUGGCGAAGGCAGCCCCCUGGGCUAACACUGACGCUCAUGCACGAAAGCGUGGGGAGCAAACAGG
Molecule: ribosomal RNA, 253 nt
Filed under: uncultured bacterium
Lineage: Bacteria
Description: partial 16S ribosomal RNA
Rfam family: Bacterial small subunit ribosomal RNA
Source: RNAcentral